Molecule: ribosomal RNA, 380 nt
Filed under: uncultured eukaryote
Lineage: Eukaryota
Description: partial 18S ribosomal RNA
Rfam family: Eukaryotic small subunit ribosomal RNA
Source: RNAcentral
CAAUAGCGUAUAUUAAAGUCGUUGCAGUUAAAAAGCUCGUAGUUGGAUUUGUGGCGUACGGUGUGUUCCGGGCACUUGUUGUCUGAGUAACCUGCUGUUGCCAUCCUUGGGUGGAACCUGUGUGGCAUUAGGUUGUCGUGCAGGGGAUGCCCAUCAUUUACUGUGAAAAAAUUAGAGUGUUCAAAGCAGGCUUAUGCCGUUGAAUAUAUUAGCAUGGAAUAAUGAGAUAGGACUUUUUUGCUAUUUUGUUGGUUUGCGCAAAGAGGUAAUGAUUAAUAGGGACAGUUGGGGGUAUUCGUAUUCCAUAGUCAGAGGUGAAAUUCUUGGAUUUUUGGAAGACGAACCACUGCGAAAGCAUUUACCAAGGAUGUUUUCAUUAA